Molecule: long non-coding RNA, 577 nt
Organism: Carya illinoinensis
Lineage: Eukaryota; Viridiplantae; Streptophyta; Magnoliopsida; Fagales; Juglandaceae
Exons: 2
Source: RefSeq, a predicted model, not a curated record
AUGACCUCAAGCUUUUGUGCUGUUCUAACAUAGAGUACACGAAGGAUCGAGAUCAGAGAUCAUGAGACUCACAUUGUGGUUUCUUUUAGGAGGGUUGUGUGUUUUUCUCCUCUUUCAUGCAUCCUAUUGCCGUAUCAUGAUCGAAACAAAUGAACUGUCUAGGUUGCAAGGACAACAAUAUCGUUAUCGGCCGUGGAAAAAAUUUGGUCGUGAGUUUGACGAUGAUUUUAGUGAGGCUCAGUCACCACCUAUUGGAGCCAAAGCAAGAAAUCCAUGAACAUUACUGAUUAAUUUGCAAGAGAGAUGUAGCCUCUAUAUGCAACUUAAUUUGCGACCAUUUAUUUGUACCGCACACAGUCUUCUUAAUUUCUUGUAGCUGUGAUAUGCAUGCAUUUGGAAGUUUGCUUCUUUUAUAUAUAGGUCUACUUCGUUAAUUUUGCUUUCAUGCAUGUAACGGUGCUUGUUAGAGAUCAAAUCAAAUCAUUGAUAUGAUUUGAUUAAUAUUAUUAUCAUAAUAAGUAUAUUUAUCGUUUUAAGAAAUUUGAUUUUCAAUAAUAUUUACCUAAUUAUGUCAUAA